AACGAACGCUGGCGGCAUGCUUAACACAUGCAAGUCGAACGAACGAUAGGCUUCGGCCUAAAGUUAGUGGCAGACGGGUGAGUAACGCGUGGGAACGUACCAUAUGGUUCGGAAUAACUAAGGGAAACUUUAGCUAAUACCGGAUAAGCCCUUCGGGGGAAAGAUUUAUCGCCAAAUGAACGGCCCGCGUUAGAUUAGGUAGUUGGUAGGGUAAAGGCCUACCAAGCCGACGAUCUAUAGCUGGUCUGAGAGGAUGAUCAGCCACACUGGGACUGAGACACGGCCCAGACACCUACGGGAGGCAGCAGUGGGGAAUAUUGGACAAUGGGGGAAACCCUGAUCCAGCAAUGCCGCGUGAGUGAAGAAGGCCUUCGGGUUGUAAAGCUCUUUUGUAAGGGAAGAUAAUGACGGUACCUUAAGAAUAAGCUCCGGCUAACUUCGUGCCAGCCGCCGCCGUAA
Molecule: ribosomal RNA, 459 nt
Filed under: uncultured bacterium
Lineage: Bacteria
Description: partial 16S ribosomal RNA
Rfam family: Bacterial small subunit ribosomal RNA
Source: RNAcentral